AAAACGCUGCGAGUUUGCUUACGCAAACGUCGCUUUAUUGAUUGCACUUUUUCAUUUCAUUGCAAAAGUGCGGCAAUUCGCCAAUCCUCGCCUUUUGAUAAAGGCUGCGGUUGUCGAAUUUUAAG
Treponema denticola ATCC 35405 is the source of this 125-nucleotide regulatory RNA element. It matches the Rfam family "TD-1 RNA". From Rfam's summary of the family: non coding RNA found in Treponema denticola The record is from Rfam. NCBI's taxonomy places the organism in Bacteria, Pseudomonadati, Spirochaetota, Spirochaetia, Treponematales, Treponemataceae.